Molecule: ribosomal RNA, 345 nt
Filed under: Tristramella simonis
Lineage: Eukaryota; Metazoa; Chordata; Actinopteri; Cichliformes; Cichlidae
Description: partial 12S ribosomal RNA
Rfam family: Bacterial small subunit ribosomal RNA
Source: RNAcentral
UUUGAUAGCCCACUACACCCGCUAUCCGCCCGGGUACUACGAGCACUAGCUUAAAACCCAAAGGACUUGGCGGUGCUUUAGACCCCCCUAGAGGAGCCUGUUCUAGAACCGAUAACCCCCGUUAAACCUCACCCUCUCUUGUUCUUCCCGCCUAUAUACCGCCGUCGUCAGCUUACCCUGUGAAGGAACCACAGUAAGCAGUACUAGUACAACUCAAAACGCCAGGUCGAGGUGUAGCAUAUGAGAGGGGAAGAAAUGGGCUACAUUCCCUACCACAGGGAACACGAACAAUGUAAUGAAAUAUACAUUAGAAGGAGGAUUUAGCAGUAAGCAGAAAAUAGAGCG